AUGCGAGCGGACCCUCCGCUUUGGCGGAACCUGCAUGGUGAUGGCUUUGGAGUUUGGUGUGCUACUUCUGCACUGAGUUCUGGUGUUGUUUGGUUGCCGUUUGGUAUUCAGUUUUCAUAUUGUUCAAGGCUUCUUUGCCAAUGAACUGUACGUUCUGGAGAUCUCGCGAGCAAUACUGCAUCGUUAUGAGUGUUGGUGAGGGAAUAACUCCGAAUCCGUCUCCCAACGAGUCAUUGGCCCCGAUCGCGGACGAUCUCCAACUCUCUCCUUCUCUCUCCAAGCAAACGUCCACCAGAGUAUGCAACACUAGGACUGCAACCAGGGAGUAGUAGAGUACUCUGCCACACCCUCACUGCAGCUGCAGGCAUCCACGCAGUCGCUGGGUCGAUGAUGGAUCAUGGAGGAGGCAACGACACCCUGCUAUAAAACUAUUUGAAUUUGAUAUUGAUGUAAACUAAACUAAUAUUCAAAUACACCCGUGCUGGGCCGCAGUGAAUGUGCCCCAAAUCCACGAGUGUACUUGACAUGAGACAUUCAGCAGCCUGUCAGCGAUCCACGAUAGCUCUACUUGUACAAGCGAAGGUCGCUUCAACUCGGACAAGAAUAUCUAAAAUUUUAUAGGACGUGCUGCAUUUGCAUUCUCUCCGCCAAAGCGGAGCGUUGAGGAGCACAGUACGAGUCGUAGUCUACAUGUAUGUGUGACCGCUGCAUCGUUAUCACGGGCGAUGCCCAAAGUACGUCAUUUUACAUUAUUUUAGUAGUUUAGCAUUUUCCAGUCUAGUGCAGGAUUUGAGGAAUUCAUUGUGUCAAUUCUUUGGCAAGUGAGGUAUUUCUUGUAUUUGAUUCGGCAUGUUGUGUUUGAGAAGUGAUCAGUUGUUCCGGCACACUCACUCCUGUCCGCUCCUGGAAAGUCCAAUACUGUUUUCAGCGCUAUUCCUAGUACUUAGCAGCACGCUAUAGCGUCGACUGCGAACUAUACCUGGAGUUACUAUUAAUUUUCAAGAUAAUUAUAAGAUGUGGAUGAACCUAUUGGAACAAAUAAAACAUUUGCCGCCCUGUCUUCGCUCACCUUGUGAAGUGAAUAUCUACCCUGUGCCGGCCACUGUCGUGGACUUAUGCCAUCCUUCUGGAUAUGUACUACUCGUGAUCGCCACAUCAAAUGGACCACGAUAAUGUCGUGGGAAGGUGUGCUAGCGGAAACGGUUUUCUUGCGAAGCUACUUCCCCAACCUAGUACCUGCUAGUAUUCAGUAUUGUUGUCUGUGCGACAAACUGCAGUUGACUUGCGAUGUGUCGAAACUUUCGAGAAGUGUACACGGAAACGGGCAACGGAAGCGGAUUGAUAAGCUGCUGCUCUGGAGACGAUUUGCAGAUGGUGAAUGCUGACUCGUCGUCGAUGUACUGUGCUGGAUCACAUCAUCUUUGGAGAACGGCACUCGUUAUGUCGUCGUUUGUGGGCAGGCAGGAAUGGCCGGGUGGUAGGUGAGCGGUGGCGGCUGUUCAUCAAGAUCUGCUCGUCGUGACUGGAAUAUGUACGGGCGAAGGUUAGGCUGACGCCGAUGCCAACACCACAGGGCUACUGCUGCUGCUGCUGACGACGACGAUGAUGAUGCAAACUUCAUGUCAAAUUCACCAAAGCCAUGGCCUAUCUUUGGCGCGGGUGUUUGAAGGUCACACACGGCGGGCCUGAUCAGCCUGAUCAGCCUGAUCUGCAAUCAAGAUAUCUGCUUCACUCAGAGUCAGUUGCUCCAGGUCUCUGUGUUCAGCGUGAGCCGUGAUCUAGGUUCUUGCCAUGACCAAGUGGACAUCGAGUAAUGACUGUGCUCCAUUCAGCCUGUGAGUGGGGACAUUCAGCAAUGGCCAUGCUCCAUCCAGCCUGUGAGUGGGGACAUUCGGCAAUGACCGUGCUCCAUCCAGCCUGUGAGUGAUCCAGCCUGAGAGUGUUUCAACUAAUUUCUUUGCUAUAGGUUAGCUGAACUAGUGCACAGCAUGUGUUUGCUCCAUACGUAUAUGGACACUUCACUUUCAACGUUUCGUGUCCCCCGCUUGGUCUACCCUGCAUUUCUUGAGAGCAGACUUGGUUCACGGUCCCUUGGGCAAGCGAAAGGUCAGCAUUGCACGCUACGUUGCUGCCACGUUCCUGGAUCAUUUUGAAUAUUUAUGCAAUGAGUAGUCAGCUGCAGAUAUCCUUACGGAGACCGUGCUGCCCAAGGAUGAUCUGUACAGAUACCGGCAACGCCAGUCACUAUAUCUGACCUUUGCAUGUGCUGGUAGAGCUGCAUCUGCGUCAUACUUGGUUAUAUUCGAGGAUUGUGUCUACAUGUAUGUAUCUGCGCUCAACGUUGGAGCCAAAAACAAUAUUGCCAUCUCACCUUUCCCAAUAUCUGUGCUCUGCAGGUACCUAAUGUUUCCUUUCAUGUUAUACAAUCAUGUAGAUGUUUCUCACAUAAAUUAUUCACUUGACAUGGUUACCAUGGAGAUCUAAUACAAGUAGAACAA
This is a long non-coding RNA of Sycon ciliatum, 2498 nucleotides long. RefSeq lists it as uncharacterized. The transcript is spliced from 3 exons. The record is from RefSeq and is a predicted model, not a curated record. NCBI's taxonomy places the organism in Eukaryota, Metazoa, Porifera, Calcarea, Leucosolenida, Sycettidae.